GAUGAACGUUGGCGGCGUGCUUAACACAUGCCAGUCGAACGGUGAGGGCGGAACUUGCUCUGCUGGAUCAGUGGCGCACGGGUGAGCAACACGUGAGCAAUCUGCCCCUGACUCUGGGAUAAGCGCUGGAAACGGCGUCUAUUACAGGAUACGAGCUGCGCAGGCAUCUUCAGCAGCUGUGAAGGAGUGCGGUCAGGGAUGAGCUCGCGGCCUACCAGCUUGUUGGUGAGGUAAGGGCUCACCAAGGCUUCGACGGCUAGCCGGCCUGAGAGGGGGACCGGCCACACUGGGACUGAGAGAGGGCGCAGAAGCCUACGGUACGCAGCAGGCGGGAACAUUGCAGAAUGGGGGAGAGCCUGAGGCAGCAGCGCCGCGAGAGGGAAGACGUCUUUCGGGGUGUAAACCACUGUGAGCGGGGAAGAAGCGAAAGUGACGGUACCUGCAGAAAAAGCGCCGGCUAACUACGUG
Molecule: ribosomal RNA, 468 nt
Filed under: uncultured bacterium
Lineage: Bacteria
Description: partial 16S ribosomal RNA
Rfam family: Bacterial small subunit ribosomal RNA
Source: RNAcentral